AACAGAACACAAUCUUCAUCAUCACACAAGACACAACAACAACAAUGAACAACAUCAUCAUCCUCAUCUGGACUCUCACACUGUUUGCUCAAGAAUGUAGAGGACAGUACACUGUGACUCAGAGUCCAUCAAUAACAGCAGCUCAACCAGGACAAGAAGUCAGAAUAAACUGUAAAACCAGCAGUAAUGUGCAUGGUGGUAAUUAUUUAGCCUGGUAUUUACAGAAACCUGGAGAAGCUCCUAAACUCCUCAUAUAUGCUGCAACAAGCCGUUACACUGGAACUCCAUCUAGAUUCAGUGGCAGUGGAUCUAACAGUGAUUUCACUCUGACCAUCAGUGGAGUCCAGACUGAAGAUACAGGAGAUUAUUACUGUCACAGUGAACACUACAUCAACAGUAAAUAUGUGUUCACACAGUGAUAAAGAGUCGUACAAAAACCUCCGUCAGUCAGAGUCACAGUGACUGCACUGAUACA
Carassius carassius (crucian carp) is the source of this 475-nucleotide non-coding RNA. The record is from the annotation of a RefSeq genome assembly. Lineage: Eukaryota; Metazoa; Chordata; Actinopteri; Cypriniformes; Cyprinidae.